Molecule: ribosomal RNA, 464 nt
Filed under: uncultured bacterium
Lineage: Bacteria
Description: partial 16S ribosomal RNA
Rfam family: Bacterial small subunit ribosomal RNA
Source: RNAcentral
CUACGGGGGGCUCCAGUGGGGAAUAUUGCACAAUGGGCGCAAGCCUGAUGCAGCCAUGCCGCGUGUAUGAAGAAGGCCUUCGGGUUGUAAAGUACUUUCAGCGGGGAGGAAGGGAGUAAAGUUAAUACCUUUGCUCAUUGACGUUACCCGCAGAAGAAGCACCGGCUAACUCCGUGCCAGCAGCCGCGGUAAUACGGAGGGUGCAAGCGUUAAUCGGAAUUACUGGGCGUAAAGCGCACGCAGGCGGUUUGUUAAGUCAGAUGUGAAAUCCCCGGGCUCAACCUGGGAACUGCAUCUGAUACUGGCAAGCUUGAGUCUCGUAGAGGGGGGUAGAAUUCCAGGUGUAGCGGUGAAAUGCGUAGAGAUCUGGAGGAAUACCGGUGGCGAAGGCAGCCCCCUGGACGAAGACUGACGCUCAGGUGCGAAAGCGUGGGGAGCAAACAGGAUUAGAUACCCCAGUAGUC